Molecule: long non-coding RNA, 364 nt
Organism: Hibiscus syriacus
Lineage: Eukaryota; Viridiplantae; Streptophyta; Magnoliopsida; Malvales; Malvaceae
Exons: 3
Source: RefSeq, a predicted model, not a curated record
CAGGAAAAUGGUAAUAUCAAAGCUGCAGCUGCUACCAAUGAUGUUAUUGAGCACAAGACCAGCUUAAAACCGUGGUCGAUAAAGUGAAAGACUUCUUUGGUGAUGCAAAAGAGUCGUUCAGGAAGAUAACAUCGCUAAACUCUGCCGAUUCCGAGUCGGACGAAAAAUCUACAGAAAAGGCCGAGGUUGGAGGCUGAGGAAAGACUAGCCGUGGGACCUGGAUUUGGAUGCUGCAUGUGUUCGGGCAAAAAGUGAAACUUUCUGCACCAAAGUUUUGUUCAUCGUCUAUCUAUGUUUCACUGUGCAUAAUUCUCAACUUCAAAAGUUCCCAAUAGUUUAUUCGUGCACGUAUUUAAUGUUUUUG